This 492-nucleotide small RNA is filed under the name Pan troglodytes (chimpanzee). RNAcentral's name for it is "retained intron". The record is from RNAcentral. Lineage: Eukaryota; Metazoa; Chordata; Mammalia; Primates; Hominidae.
CAAGUAGUGCACCUGAGCUUUGUUUUCACAUUAAUAACACUGCAUUUCAAUCCGCCCUUUCAGCUGCAUCAAGAAAAACUGAAAGAGGAAAAGAAGAAGAAGAAAAAGAAAAGGAAGAAGCAUCGAAAGAGCAGUUCAGAUAGUGAUGAUGAAGAAAAGAAGCAUGAAAAAUUGAAAAAGGCACUGAAUGCAGAGGAGGCCCGCCUUCUUCAUGUCAAGGAGACCAUGCAGAUUGAUGAGAGGAAGCGGCCUUACAAUAGCAUGUAUGAAACUCGAGAACCUACUGAAGAGGAAAUGGAGGCAUAUAGAAUGAAACGUCAGAGGCCAGAUGACCCCAUGGCCUCUUUCCUUGGACAGUAGUAACUAGUCAGAAGACCAUCCAAGAUAGAUGCAGCUGAUACAUUCUUUUCAGCUUCUUAUUGAUGAUUGUAGAUAGAAAAAUCCUUGUUUAUUCUUCUUGCUGCCUGGCUUUAAUAAAUAUUUCAGAUGCCU